This 683-nucleotide ribosomal RNA is filed under the name Alexandrium catenella. RNAcentral's name for it is "partial large subunit ribosomal RNA". It matches the Rfam family "Eukaryotic large subunit ribosomal RNA", at positions 37 to 662 of the family's 3401-position model. The record is from RNAcentral. Lineage: Eukaryota; Dinophyceae; Gonyaulacales; Pyrocystaceae.
AGCAUAUAAGUAAGUGGUGGAAAUUAAACCAAAUGGGAUAUCUUUAGUAAUUGNGAAUGAACAAGGAUAUGCUUANCUUGACAAAUGGAGCUAUUGGCUUUGAAUUGUAUUGUGGAAAUGUAUUACCAACAGAGGUGCAGGUGCCAGCCUAUUGAAAUAAAGCGUCAAUGAGGGUGAGAAUCCUGUUUGUCAUGUGCAGCCCUUUGUGCACGGUGUAUAUUUGCUGAGUCACACUCCUUGGCAUUGGAAUGCAAAGUGGGUGGUAAGUUUCAUGUAAAGGUAAACAUGCAAUUGAGACUGAUAGCACACAAGUACCAUGAGGGAAAUAUGAAAAGGACUUUGAAAAGAGAAUUAAAUGANUUUGUAUUUGCUGAACACAAAGUAAACAGACUUGAUUUGCUUGGUGGGAGUGUUGCACUUGCUUGACAAGAGCUUUGGGCUGUGGGUGUAAUGAUUCUUUCUUUGCAUGCCAGUUUCUAUUUGUACAUCUGAUUACCUUUGCACAUGAAUGAUAAGUCUCCUGUGGGGGGUGGAUUGCAUGUGCAUGUAAUGAUUUGUGUUUUGAUAAAUGUGUCUGGUGUAUGUGUGUGUUCCUGUGCUUGGGGAUGCUUCCUUCCUUGGACUUACAAGCCCUGACACACACAUGCUGGCAAAAUGCUUCUGCUUGACCCGUCUUGAAACAC